UGGGGAAUCUUGGACAAUGGGCGCAAGCCUGAUCCAGCCAUGCCGCGUGGAUGAUGAAGGCCCUAGGGUUGUAAAAUCCUUUCGUUGGGGACGAUAAUGACGGUACCCAAAGAAGAAGCUCCGGCUAACUUCGUGCCAGCAGCCGCGGUAAUACGAAGGGGGCUAGCGUUGUUCGGAUUUACUGGGCGUAAAGCGCGUGUAGGCGGGUCGUUAAGUUGGGGGUGAAAUCCCGAGGCUCAACCUCGGAACUGCCUUCAAAACUGGCGACCUGGACUCAAGUAGAGGCAAGUGGAAUUGCGAGUGUAGAGGUGAAAUUCGUAGAUAUUCGCAGGAACACCAGUGGCGAAGGCGACUUGCUGGACUUAUGGUGACGCUGAGACGCGAAAGCGUGGGGAGCAAACAGGAUUAGAUACCCAGGUAGUCCCUGAGCGGGCUGGCAAGGCGCAU
RNAcentral lists this ribosomal RNA (447 nucleotides) under uncultured bacterium. RNAcentral's name for it is "bacterial SSU rRNA". It matches the Rfam family "Bacterial small subunit ribosomal RNA", at positions 355 to 825 of the family's 1533-position model. The record is from RNAcentral.